This 1910-nucleotide long non-coding RNA is filed under the name Bos grunniens (domestic yak). RNAcentral describes it as "lncRNA (ENSBGRG00000000578.1)". Lineage: Eukaryota; Metazoa; Chordata; Mammalia; Artiodactyla; Bovidae. The record is from RNAcentral.
UUUUCUACUGAGAAUAAAGGUAGGUGCUGCCCUGAUUUGGGGAAAGCUGGGCCCUGGAAGUAGGGAUGUGAUCUAGCCAAGUCUCAGACAGAGAGAAGCAGCUCUUUGGCUAGGACAGAAGCCCCAUCUCUUGACAUUUGACCUUCAGAUUCCUACAGUUUAAAAAUUAAUCACCAGAAAAUGAAUACUUCCCAUUUUCCCUCAGCUAGACCAAAGUCCUAAGUGCUGGCUCUAACUAAGCCAGGGGUUGUCUGUCAAAAUAAAUUGCAGGGGUGGGAGUCGGGCUGGUAGGGACCAGGCCAAUCAGCCCCAAGCUAGCAGCCUCCAGGGUUUGCUCUGGGCUCCUGGCUGGUUAGACCAGCCCUGCCAGGGCUCCUUGGAGAGCAGGGUGGAGAUGCAGGGCUUGGGAGAGGAGCAGCGAGGCCCGGGAGGGUGGGGCUGAGCAGGUCUCUGCAGCAGGCGGGAGAGGAGGAAAUGGGGUGGAGGAAUUGUGUUCAGGUGUGCACCGCCACCGAAGGCCAGGCUUCAGAAGGGGUUGAGGCUGCCUGCCCAGCCAGGGAGGAGAAGGAAGCUCUCGGUGGCUGUGAUGCCUGUUUGAGGAUACUUGAGGUGUCUCAGCCCAGUCUCCCUCCCCAGAAGAGGAAACCAAGAAGGGCCCAAGGCAUGCCAGCUCCCAGAGAGGAGAAAUUGACACAAAUUAUUUAAAAGAAGAAAAGCAACACCAUUACCAUAGUUGACUUCCUGUGUUUGUUUUCAAAACAACUUCUCUGAAGUGAAGUCGCUCAGUCGUACCCGACUCUGCGGCCCCAGGGAUAGUAGCCUGAACCAAGCUCCCCUGUCCAUGGGAUUUUCAAGGCAAGAAAUACUGGAGUGGGUUGCCGUUUCCUUCUCCAAAACAACUUCUCUAUCCUACAGCUAUUCCUGAAGUGCUCCCAAGAAAGCCUUAACAUUCACCAGAUCACAGUACGAAUAGCACUUUUUCUGUGUGUGUGUGUGUUGCUUAGCAAAGCAAAUAGAAUAAUAACUAAUGUGAGAUUUUAAUUAUUGUGUGUGUCAGUAGUGCUGCUUUGUAAAUCAGAGUUAAUUAAUUCUGAGUACUUGCUACUUCUUCAAUCCUCCUACCAGCUCAGGAGCAAGCGUGCUAUUUUCUAUGUCAAUAACGAGGGUGCUUCUAGAAAGAGUAUUCAGAACAAGCCGGGUGCCAUCUACAUGAGAGCAAUUUCAAGACUGGGAAUGUAGACUUGUCAUCAGUUCUACCUAAUGUAUGUUUCCCAGAAAAGGACAAGCUGUUUCCUCACUGUAAUGUUAGAUAAGGGAACAGCCUCCCCCGGCAGCUCUCUUUCACCUUUUCCUUCAGAAACUGGUCCAAAGUUUUUGAAUCAAUUAUUUUGUCUUCACAAUUCUUUAAAGCACUCCUUCAUAUAAAUGGAUCUGGUUAUUUAUUUGGCUGUUAUGUGCAAUGGUACUCUCUUUUAUUUACCUAAAUGCAUGAUUUUCAAACCUACAAUGUUUAUGCACAACUAAAUUUUGUAUGGAAACAUAAUUCAUAAAGCAGAAAAAUUGAGGAGCUAAGGAGUGUAGAUUGAAAAAUGAAACCAGUGGCCACCCAGCCAAACCCCCCACACACUCCUGUCCCCUACAGCUGCCCCUGCAGUAUUUCCAAGAAAACCCAUAUUCUUCAUAUCACACUUUGGAACCUUUCAUCCUAAACUACAUUUCUUCAUUAAGUUUUCAAAAAAAGCUUUAUCUCUGUAUUUGUGUAUUUCAUGACAAGACCAUCAUUCCUUUGAUUCCCUUGAUCAUGCUUCUGUCCAUUUCAGUCAGGUUUAAAAUGGAUAGAAGCUGCCUCCUUUCCAAAAUGAUAAACUUUACAUUUUUUCAAUAAAUUAAAAAAAAAGAAAACCUUUUUU